Molecule: ribosomal RNA, 85 nt
Filed under: Kordia sp. TARA_039_SRF
Lineage: Bacteria; Pseudomonadati; Bacteroidota; Flavobacteriia; Flavobacteriales; Flavobacteriaceae
Source: RNAcentral
ACCUCUUACCAUUCCGAACAGAGAAGUUAAGCCCAUUAGCGCAGAUGGUACUGCAGAGAUGUGGGAGAGUAUGUCGCCGCCUUUU